UGAGAAACAGGGUCUUGCUGUGUCUCCCUGGAUGCAGUCCAGUGGCAUGAUAAUAGUUCACGGUAACCUCGAGCUCCUGGGCUUGAGCAAUCCCCCUGCCUCAGCCUUCAGAGUAGCUGGGACUACAGGCAUCCACCAGCAUGGCUGGCGAAUUUUUAAAAAUUUUUAUAGAGAUUUUGCUGUGUUGCCCAGCUGGUCCUGAACUUCUGGCCUCAAGUGGUUCUGCCCUCGGCCUCCCAAUGAACUAGAAUUAUAGGCAUGAGCCACUGCACCCAGCCUACUUAUACAGUUCUAAAUUAAUAGUCCUUACAUAUUUUAUUUGUGGCCAAUACAUUUAUACUUUUUUUUUGGAUGGAGUCUCCCUCUGUUGCCCAGGCUGGAGUACAGUGGUGUGAUCUCAGUUCACUACAACCUCCACUUCCCGGGUUGAAGCGAUUCUCCUGCCUCAGCCUCCCGAGUAGCUGGGACAACAGGGUCUCACACUGUCACACAGGCUGGAGUGCAGUGUUGUGAUUAUAGCUCACUGCAGCCUCACACUCCUGGGCUCCAGAGAACCUCCUGCUUCAGCCUUCCAAGUAGCUGGGACUACAGAGUCAACUACCAAAACUGCUGAUCCGUGGAAACUUCACAGCCUUUCCGGGCAUAAUAACGGCUACAGCUACAGCUUAUUCAAAGAGAGAAAUAGCCUUUGAUGAGCUGUGCAAGGACAAAUUAAGACGUGACUCUCACCCAGCAUCUAGAUAGUAUCCUGAUGUUCCAGGCUUUACCCAAAAAGAAAUGGUUCUAGGGGAGCUGGGAGGCUUUGACCACACUCUCCUAAUAGCAGUGGAAGGACCAGGACCUAAAGAUGACCAUACCACCAAGGACUUCAGAGCAUCAGAAGCAAAACAGCAUGUUGCUAAGGCAAUUCUUUCUGUCAUCUCUGCUCUUCCAACCUGUGGCAAAGUCAGAUAACUGUCCCUAAGUUCCCAUUAUCUACUUCUUUAGUAAUAGAAACCCUAAUUUUUAGCUGGCAAUGUGGGGGGUGGAUUCUGGUUGGCUGAAAUAAACUCUAUAUUUCUCAGCCUCUUCUGGUUGGAUGUGGUCAUGUAUCUAAGUUCUAGACAAUGAGAUGAAAGUAGAACUGCCAUGUAAAAUUUCUGAGAAAUAGCCUUAAGAGGUAUUAAAUCAAGGUUAGCCUAAAGGUACCUCCUUACAUAUUUUAAGUUCAGCCUAAAAGUUUCUCUGUACAUCGUGAACUGUAAUCUAAACAAAGUUGUAAACAGAAUGUAACCUACUCUUGUGCCAAUCACCAAGUUUUGGUCAAUCAAAGGUGGCCAGCUGUUCAAACCAUGUUCAAAUAAGGCAAACUCUGAGCGGUAACCAAUCUGGCUGUUUCUGUACUUCUGUUUUCUGUAUAUCACUUUCCUUUUUCUGUCCAUAAGUCUUCUCCUACCAUGUGGCUGCACUGCAGUGGAGUCUCUGAGCCUACUCCGGCUCAGGAGUCUGCCAAAUUCAGAAAUUGUUCUUUGCUCAAUUAAAUUCUUUUAAAU
This 1532-nucleotide long non-coding RNA is filed under the name Macaca fascicularis (crab-eating macaque). RNAcentral describes it as "lncRNA (ENSMFAG00000057164.1)". Lineage: Eukaryota; Metazoa; Chordata; Mammalia; Primates; Cercopithecidae. The record is from RNAcentral.